Molecule: ribosomal RNA, 487 nt
Filed under: uncultured bacterium
Lineage: Bacteria
Description: partial 16S ribosomal RNA
Rfam family: Bacterial small subunit ribosomal RNA
Source: RNAcentral
GAUGAACGCUAGCGGCAGGCCUAAUACAUGCAAGUCGAACGAGAUUAAGAGGCUUGCUUCUUAUGAAAGUGGCGCACGGGUGCGUAACGCGUAUGCAACCUACCUUAGUCAGGGGGAUAGCCCGAAGAAAUUCGGAUUAAGACCGCAUAAAAACACAGGAUAGCAUUAUCCAAUGUUCAAAUAUUUAUAGGAUUAAGAUGGGCAUGCGUGGCAUUAGCUAGUUGGCGGGGUAACGGCCCACCAAGGCGACGAUGAGUAGGGGAUCUGAGAGGAUGAUCACCCACACGAGAACGGAGACACGAUCCAGACACCGAAGGGAGGCAGCAUUGGGGAGUAUUGGACAAUGGGCACAACCCUGAUCCAGCCAUACCGCUUUGAUGAAGAAGGCCUUCGGGUUGUAAAGCCCUUUUGUUGGGAAAGAAAAGUAGAAGGUUAAUACCCCGCUGUUCUGACGGUACCCAAAGAAUAAGCACCGGCUAACUUCGUG